RNAcentral lists this ribosomal RNA (496 nucleotides) under uncultured bacterium. RNAcentral's name for it is "bacterial SSU rRNA". It matches the Rfam family "Bacterial small subunit ribosomal RNA", at positions 29 to 502 of the family's 1533-position model. The record is from RNAcentral.
AACAAACGCUGGCGGCGUGCCUAACACAUGCAAGUCGAACGCGAAAAUCGGCUUCGGCCGAUGAGUAAAGUGGCGCACGGGUGAGUAACGCGUGGAUAAUCUACCCUUCAGUUGGGAAUAACUUAUCGAAAGGUGAGCUAAUACCGAAUAAAACUGCCUGACCACGGUCGGGUAGUCAAAGAUAGCCUCUGCUUGCAAGCUUUCGCUGAAUGAUGAGUCCGCGUACCAUUAGCUAGUUGGUGGGGUAAUGGCCUACCAAGGCGACGAUGGUUAGCUGGUCUGAGAGGAUGAUCAGCCACACUGGAACUGAGACACGGUCCAGACUCCUACGGGAGGCAGCAGUGAGGAAUCUUGCGCAAUGGGGGAAACCCUGACGCAGCAACGCCGCGUGAGUGAGGAAGGUCUUCGGAUCGUAAAGCUCUGUCGGGUGGAAAGAAUGUAUGGGGUUAAUAGCCUUCAUACUUGACGGUACCACCAAAGGAAGCACCGGCUAACU